CAGUAGCCGCGGGAAUACGAAGGGGGCUAGCGUUGCUCGGAAUUACUGGGCGUAAAGGGAGCGUAGGCGGACAUUUAAGUCAGGGGUGAAAUCCCAGAGCUCAACUCUGGAACUGCCUUUGAUACUGGGUGUCUUGAGUGUGAUAGAGGUAUGUGGAACUCCGAGUGUUGAGGUGAAAUUCGUAGAUAUUCGGAAGAACACCAGUGGCGAAGGCGACAUACUGGAUCAUUACUGACGCUGAGGCUCGAAAGCGUGGGGAGCAAACAGGAUUAGAUACCCCAGUAGUCCCUGUCUCUUAUAC
Molecule: ribosomal RNA, 301 nt
Filed under: uncultured bacterium
Lineage: Bacteria
Description: partial 16S ribosomal RNA
Rfam family: Bacterial small subunit ribosomal RNA
Source: RNAcentral